ACUCAUUUGGCUGAGUGGUUAAGGUACUGGACUUAAGAUCCAAUGGAGUAGUGACUGUGUGGGUUUAAACCCCACUACUGGUA
Molecule: transfer RNA, 83 nt
Organism: Gorilla gorilla gorilla (western lowland gorilla)
Lineage: Eukaryota; Metazoa; Chordata; Mammalia; Primates; Hominidae
Rfam family: tRNA
About the family: Transfer RNA (tRNA) molecules are approximately 80 nucleotides in length. Their secondary structure includes four short double-helical elements and three loops (D, anti-codon, and T loops).
Source: Rfam